Molecule: ribosomal RNA, 243 nt
Filed under: uncultured Staphylococcus sp.
Lineage: Bacteria; Bacillati; Bacillota; Bacilli; Caryophanales; Staphylococcaceae
Description: partial 16S ribosomal RNA
Rfam family: Bacterial small subunit ribosomal RNA
Source: RNAcentral
CGGCGGACGGGUGAGUAACACGUGGAUAACCUACCUAUAAGACUGGGAUAACUUCGGGAAACCGGAGCUAAUACCGGAUAAUAUAUUGAACCGCAUGGUUCAAUAGUGAAAGACGGUUUUGCUGUCACUUGUAGAUGGAUCCGCGCCGCAUUAGCUAGUUGGUAAGGUAACGGCUUACCAAGGCAACGAUGCGUAGCCGACCUGAGAGGGUGAUGGCCACACUGGAACUGAGACACGGUCCAG